CAUUUCUUUCUCCGUGGCCCAAAAUUAAUAAAGUUUGACUAUCUUUAUUUCAGAAGCAUUUUGGCUGUAGACCAGUGCUUUCUAAGGUAUGUC
Molecule: long non-coding RNA, 93 nt
Organism: Thalassophryne amazonica
Lineage: Eukaryota; Metazoa; Chordata; Actinopteri; Batrachoidiformes; Batrachoididae
Exons: 3
Source: RefSeq, a predicted model, not a curated record